AAUAGAUACCCCGGUAGUCCACGCCCUAAACGAUGCGAACUGGAUGUUGGGUGCACUUUGGCACGCAGUAUCGAAGCUAACGCGUUAAGUUCGCCGCCUGGGGAGUACGGUCGCAAGACUGAAACUCAAAGGAAUUGACGGGGGCCCGCACAAGCGGUGGAGUAUGUGGUUUAAUUCGAUGCAACGCGAAGAACCUUACCUGGCCUUGACAUGCACGGAACUUUCCAGAGAUGGAUGGGUGCCUUCGGGAACCGUGACACAGGUGCUGCAUGGCUGUCGUCAGCUCGUGUCGUGAGAUGUUGGGUUAAGUCCCGCAACGAGCGCAACCCUUGUCCUUAGUUGCCAGCACGUAAUGGUGGGAACUCUAAGGAGACCGCCGGUGACAAAACCGGAGGAAGGUGGGGAUGACGGUCAAGUCAUCAUGGGCCCUUACGGCCAGGGGCUACACACGUACUACAAUGGUAGGGACAGAGGGCUGCAAGCCGGCGACGGUGAGCCAAUCCCAGAAAACCCCUAUCUCAGUCCGGAUUGGGAUCGUGCAACUCC
Molecule: ribosomal RNA, 546 nt
Filed under: uncultured bacterium
Lineage: Bacteria
Description: bacterial SSU rRNA
Rfam family: Bacterial small subunit ribosomal RNA
Source: RNAcentral